RNAcentral lists this ribosomal RNA (253 nucleotides) under uncultured bacterium. RNAcentral's name for it is "partial 16S ribosomal RNA". It matches the Rfam family "Bacterial small subunit ribosomal RNA", at positions 524 to 776 of the family's 1533-position model. The record is from RNAcentral.
UACGUAGGGACCAAGCGUUGUUCGGAUUUACUGGGCGUAAAGGGCGCGUAGGCGGCUUGACAAGUCACUUGUGAAAUCUCCGGGCUUAACUCGGAACGGCCAAGUGAAACUGUCAUGCUAGAGUGCAGAAGGGGCAAUCGGAAUUCUUGGUGUAGCGGUGAAAUGCGUAGAUAUCAAGAGGAACACCGGUGGCGAAGGCAGCUCUCUGGGACGGUACUGACGCUGAGACGCGAAAGCGUGGGGAGCGAACAGG